This 443-nucleotide ribosomal RNA is filed under the name uncultured bacterium. RNAcentral's name for it is "partial 16S ribosomal RNA". It matches the Rfam family "Bacterial small subunit ribosomal RNA", at positions 338 to 795 of the family's 1533-position model. The record is from RNAcentral.
CCUACGGGUGGCUGCAGUGGGGAAUAUUGGGCAAUGGGCGCAAGCCUGACCCAGCAACGCCGCGUGAAGGAAGAAGGCUUUCGGGUUGUAAACUUCUUUUCUCAGGGACGCAGCAAGUGACGGUAUCUGAGGAAUAAGCCACGGCUAACUACGUGCCCGCAGCCGCGGUAAGACGGAGGUGGCAAGCGUUAUCCGGAUUUACUGGGGGUAAAGGGCGUGUAGGCGGGAAAGCAAGUCAGAUGUGAAAACCAUGGGCUCAAACUGUGGCCUGCAUUUGAAACUGGUUUUCUUGAGUACUGGAGAGGCAGACGGAAUGCCUAGUGUAGCGGUGAAAUGCGUAGAUAUUAGGAAGAACACCAGUGGCGAAGGCGGUCUGCUGGACAGCAACUGACGCUGAGGCGCGAAAGCGUGGGGAGCAAACAGGAUUAGAUACCCGUGUAGUC